GGUUCCGUGGCCGAGCGGUUCAGGUGCCCGGUUGCAACCCGGUAGACUCAGGUUCGAACCCUGACGGAACCU
Molecule: transfer RNA, 72 nt
Filed under: Myxococcales bacterium
Lineage: Bacteria; Pseudomonadati; Myxococcota; Myxococcia; Myxococcales
Description: tRNA-Cys
Rfam family: tRNA
About the family: Transfer RNA (tRNA) molecules are approximately 80 nucleotides in length.
Source: RNAcentral